Molecule: long non-coding RNA, 1181 nt
Organism: Anoplophora glabripennis (Asian longhorned beetle)
Lineage: Eukaryota; Metazoa; Arthropoda; Insecta; Coleoptera; Cerambycidae
Exons: 2
Source: RefSeq, a predicted model, not a curated record
UCCGAUGUGUCUCUGAACCUAUCGCAGGUUUUUUUUCCACAAAAGGAAAAUUACGUUGAAUAGGCGUUUCCAUGAGGUACGUGGCCCCACGUUUGCUUUGUGACCUGGAUUGUCGGUUAAAUACAUUCUUCCAACUUAACUUAUGGACCGGUAAAUACACUACAAGUUUUAACAUAGCCUUUACCCAUUCUUCAAAAAAAAUAAUAACCCCGGCGAAGAUUACUUGCUCUACAAAUCUGCGAUAUGUCUAAACAAACAAACCUAACAAACCUUGAACAUUUAUCUCUACGUUUUCGAUCACUGACGAUUGUAGAAUCGCCCCCAUCUGUCAAGUCCUGUCAUCUGUCGAGUAAAAUAAACCUGUGUAUUGAGAAAAGCCACUUCUAAGUUUGCUCAGAAUACCUACAAAUAAAUAUCUGCUCCGAUGUGUCUUGCAAAAACCCUUUCUGCAGUUUUCCAGUUACAACUAUGCAGUGUGGAAGUUUUGUGUUUUACAAGAAUCCACCACUACAUUACCUACACUUCUACCGAGGAACCCGGGAAGCCACCAGUUAAAGUUAUUAAAGGACAAGUGAUUUUUGCGAGUGCAGGUUAUAAAAUUGUGAAAUGUUCCUUGAUGUGAAAGGUUUCAUUGAUACGGGACCUGUCUCAAAAACUUAGUCUUUUUUUGUUAAGUUGUUUAUUUUUCACAGCAGGGAUAUGCGAUUAUUAUUUAACCAUUCUCGCCUUCCAUGUAGUAGCUUCAGCUGCACUAAUUCUAAGAAAACUAUGGCAAAUAAAGUUAUUUCAAACUACAUUACAUUAAUUUCAUUUUAUAAAAAAAUUUGUUCACUUGGGUACAUAACGUAAAACAAGUUAAAAGGUUAUUAAAACAAAUUGAGAAAAUACCUGCUUUUGAAAAUUCCUCAAUAAAUUUUGGGCCCCCAGGAAGCCACCAGUUAAAGUGAUUACAAGAGCAAGUGAUUUUUGCGAGUGCAGGUUAUAAAAUUGUGACUGUUCCCUGAGGUCAAAGAUUUCAUUGAUACAGGACCUGUCUCAAAAGCUUAGUCUUUUUUUUGUUCAAGUUGUUUAUUUUUCACGACAGGGAUAUGUGAUUAUUAUUUAACCAUUCUCGCCUUCUAUUUAGUAGCUUCAACUACACUAAUUCUAAAAAAACUGGCAAAUAAAGUUAUUUCAAACUA